UGGCUAUGUGGACCCUCCUGGGAACUGCCUUGCCCCACAACGGCACAAGAGUAGUUUGUCAGCAGCUGAGCAACCCGAGAGCACUCUCUGCCGUCCUGCAUGUUUAUGAUACUGGUGCAACCAAUGUCCUUCUCAUUGGCUGUAUUCUUGGGGGAUUCUUUGGAGUCCUGUUAGUAGCAGCUUUGUUAUACACCUUCCUGGUCAAAUCUGAGUCCUUCCAGGAAUGUUUCGGUGGGGAAGAAACCGAAGAUGAUAUGACCACUAUUGUAUCAACGGAACAAAAGAAGAAAUCAAGUCAGGAUGUGACAGACUGAAAAUAGAUACACAAACUGUUUCUAUUUUGUUACCAGGCUAACUAAA
Molecule: long non-coding RNA, 360 nt
Organism: Pelmatolapia mariae (spotted tilapia)
Lineage: Eukaryota; Metazoa; Chordata; Actinopteri; Cichliformes; Cichlidae
Exons: 3
Source: RefSeq, a predicted model, not a curated record